This 1007-nucleotide ribosomal RNA is filed under the name Vibrio sp. RNAcentral describes it as "bacterial SSU rRNA". It matches the Rfam family "Bacterial small subunit ribosomal RNA", at positions 86 to 1088 of the family's 1533-position model. Lineage: Bacteria; Pseudomonadati; Pseudomonadota; Gammaproteobacteria; Vibrionales; Vibrionaceae. The record is from RNAcentral.
CGGCGUCGAGCGGCGGACGGGUGAGUAAUGCCUAGGAAAUUGCCCUGAUGUGGGGGAUAACCAUUGGAAACGAUGGCUAAUACCGCAUAAUGCCUACGGGUCAAAGAGGGGGACCUUCGGGCCUCUCGCGUCAGGAUAUGCCUAGGUGGGAUUAGCUAGUUGGUGAGGUAAUGGCUCACCAAGGCGACGAUCCCUAGCUGGUCUGAGAGGAUGAUCAGCCACACUGGAACUGAGACACGGUCCAGACUCCUACGGGAGGCAGCAGUGGGGAAUAUUGCACAAUGGGCGCAAGCCUGAUGCAGCCAUGCCGCGUGUGUGAAGAAGGCCUUCGGGUUGUAAAGCACUUUCAGUCGUGAGGAAGGUAGUGUAGUUAAUAGCUGCAUUAUUUGACGUUAGCGACAGAAGAAGCACCGGCUAACUCCGUGCCAGCAGCCGCGGUAAUACGGAGGGUGCGAGCGUUAAUCGGAAUUACUGGGCGUAAAGCGCAUGCAGGUGGUUUGUUAAGUCAGAUGUGAAAGCCCGGGGCUCAACCUCGGAAUAGCAUUUGAAACUGGCAGACUAGAGUACUGUAGAGGGGGGUAGAAUUUCAGGUGUAGCGGUGAAAUGCGUAGAGAUCUGAAGGAAUACCGGUGGCGAAGGCGGCCCCCUGGACAGAUACUGACACUCAGAUGCGAAAGCGUGGGGAGCAAACAGGAUUAGAUACCCUGGUAGUCCACGCCGUAAACGAUGUCUACUUGGAGGUUGUGGCCUUGAGCCGUGGCUUUCGGAGCUAACGCGUUAAGUAGACCGCCUGGGGGAGUACGGUCGCAAGAUUAAAACUCAAAUGAAUUGACGGGGGCCCGCACAAGCGGUGGAGCAUGUGGUUUAAUUCGAUGCAACGCGAAGAACCUUACCUACUCUUGACAUCCAGAGAACUUUCCAGAGAUGGAUUGGUGCCUUCGGGAACUCUGAGACAGGUGCUGCAUGGCUGUCGUCAGCUCGUGUUGUGAAAUGUUGGGUUAAGUCCC